AAACUCCCUAAACUAUAGCAAUCACAUGUAAUCAAUCAUAUCGUAAUGAACCACUCAAGUGUCACAACUAGAUCAACAAUAUGAUGAAUCUCAAUCUCUUGAUAAAUUCACCCUAUCCUUUAAUGAUACUUCUCCAAUCUCUUGGAUGGAAGCUACCGGUAACGGAGUAAUUAAAAGUGCGUUGAUCUUAUGUUACACUCUAUGUUUCAAUCUCUCGACCGGAAACACUCAAGUGCUCAACGAAUUCAUGUCGGAUUUUAACUCAUAUUCUCAUACAUAAUCAAAAUCUAAAAUCAUUGCAAAGUUGAUCAGAAAUUGUAAAGCAUUAAGAACUGAAAUUCAUUGAAUAACACUUAUACAAGAGAGAUUCAUUACAAAUAUGAGGAAUUACAUAAGAUUACAUCAGUUUAGUUCAUAUUCUAGAUCCAACCUCUAUGAGGAUUUAGUUCCUCAUGGUGACAAGCAAGGAUCCAAGCUCCAACUCCACAAGAUUUGCUCCCAUGUUGUUGAACUUCUUGAAUCUAGCCACUGGAACGCAGGAUCUCACUCCAAUUGAUGCACAAGAACUCUUAAAAUCAGGUUUCAACUCCAAAGUUUCGAACCCUUUUCAAGAAAAUGAAGUUUCUUUAAAUACAGAUCGCAACCACGCCGCGCGCCAAAUCUACCACGCUGC
Molecule: long non-coding RNA, 673 nt
Filed under: Trifolium pratense (red clover)
Lineage: Eukaryota; Viridiplantae; Streptophyta; Magnoliopsida; Fabales; Fabaceae
Description: long non-coding RNA (TPRA_LNC007499)
Source: RNAcentral